Molecule: non-coding RNA, 788 nt
Organism: Acanthopagrus latus (yellowfin seabream)
Lineage: Eukaryota; Metazoa; Chordata; Actinopteri; Spariformes; Sparidae
Source: the annotation of a RefSeq genome assembly
AGCAGAGGUGAUUUCCAGGCAUGUUUUCACUCUGCAGAUAUAAUAACAGUCAACAGACUCUUCUAUUGGCUCCAGUCAGACCAACAUUGAUGCUUCAUAUGUUUGAUUCUAUGCAAACUCAGUGAGCUUCCUUGUUACUCAGCUAUAAAAACUUCCCAUCAGGCUGUCAGUGGAGUUCACAGCACGUCAGUUUCAACAUCAACCAUGUUUUCUGCAGCUCUGCUGCUGCUGUUGGCAGCUGGAUGUGUGAAGUGUGAACAGUUGACACAGCCAGCCUCUGUGACCGUGCAGCCAGGUCAACGUCUGACCAUCACCUGUCAGGUCUCUUAUUCUUUGGGCAGCUACUACACAGCUUGGAUCAGACAGCCUGCAGGGAAAGGACUGGAGUGGAUUGGGAUGAAAAGUACUGGAUACUCAUACUACAAAGAUUCCCUGAAGAAUAAGUUCAGUAUCGAUUUAGACUCUUCCAGCAACACAGUGACUCUAAAUGGACAGAAUGUGCAGUCUGAAGACACUGCUGUGUAUUACUGUGCCAGAGGAGACACAGUGAGAGACAAUAAUAGGAGAGUCAUACAAAAACUUCUUCCUCUAUUUACCACCACUGGAAACAUUCUCAACAUUGUCUCAGUAUCACAAGGUGACUGUAAUUCAUGAAAGUUCAGAGUUGUGACUAAAUAUUUAAUUCUUGUUUUAUCUAAACUGAAAUGUAAAAUAUUAAUAAUAAUUAAAUUGCAAUUUUGUCACACAAAAAGUCAUGAAAAGAAUCUUGUCUGAGUGUCCAAGAUCGC